UUGCACGCUGGCGGCAGGCCUCACACAUGCAAGUCGAGCGGAUGAAGGGAGCUUGCUCCUGGAUUCAGCGGCGGACGGGUGAGUAAUGCCUAGGAAUCUGCCUGGUAGUGGGGGAUAACGUCCGGAAACGGGCGCUAAUACCGCAUACGUCCUGAGGGAGAAAGUGGGGGAUCUUCGGACCUCACGCUAUCAGAUGAGCCUAGGUCGGAUUAGCUAGUUGGUGGGGUAAAGGCCUACCAAGGCGACGAUCCGUAACUGGUCUGAGAGGAUGAUCAGUCACACUGGAACUGAGACACGGUCCAGACUCCUACGGGAGGCAGCAGUGGGGAAUAUAGGACAAUGGGCGAAAGCCUGAUCCAGCCAUGCCGCGUGUGUGAAGAAGGUCUUCGGAUUGUAAAGCACUUUAAGUUGGGAGGAAGGGCAGUAAGUUAAUACCUUGCUAUUUUGACGUUACCAACAGAAUAAGCACCGGCUAACUUCGUG
Molecule: ribosomal RNA, 483 nt
Filed under: uncultured bacterium
Lineage: Bacteria
Description: partial 16S ribosomal RNA
Rfam family: Bacterial small subunit ribosomal RNA
Source: RNAcentral